GGAAGUAUGGCUCAAGUGGCAGAGCACCUACCUACCAAGUGUGAGGCCCUGAGUUCAGUCUCUGUACUGUCA
RNAcentral lists this transfer RNA (72 nucleotides) under Dipodomys ordii (Ord's kangaroo rat). It matches the Rfam family "tRNA". Rfam says of the family: Transfer RNA (tRNA) molecules are approximately 80 nucleotides in length. The record is from Rfam by way of RNAcentral. Lineage: Eukaryota; Metazoa; Chordata; Mammalia; Rodentia; Heteromyidae.